This 157-nucleotide ribosomal RNA is filed under the name Saccharomycodes ludwigii. RNAcentral's name for it is "5.8S ribosomal RNA". It matches the Rfam family "5.8S ribosomal RNA". From Rfam's summary of the family: 5.8S ribosomal RNA (5.8S rRNA) is a component of the large subunit of the eukaryotic ribosome. The record is from RNAcentral. Lineage: Eukaryota; Fungi; Ascomycota; Saccharomycetes; Saccharomycodales; Saccharomycodaceae.
AAAACUUUCAACAACGGAUCUCUUGGUUCUCGCAUCGAUGAAGAACGUAGCGAAUUGCGAUAAGUAAUGUGAAUUGCAGAUUUUCGUGAAUCAUUGAAUUUUUGAACGCACAUUGCGCCCUUUGGUAUUCCAAAGGGCAUGCCUGUUUGAGCGUCAU